GUACACCUCUGUACUUUGUGUGGGAGAAGCUGAUAGGAAUGCAUGACACCAAGAGCAUAUGCCUGAGGGCACUUGCAAGGCUGCCGGUGGUGAUACCCAUAUGGUUUUUGGCCAUUAUUUUCCCAUUUUUUGGACCUAUUAACUCUGCAGUUGGUGCACUGCUGGUCAGCUUCACCGUUUACAUCGUCCCAUCUUUGGCCCAUAUGCUUACCUACAGAAAAGCCUCUGCUAGACAGAACGCAGCAGAAAAGCCUCCGUCCUUUUUACCAAGCUGGACUGCCAUGUAUGUUGUAAACACCUUUGUGGUGGUGUGGGUUUUGGUUGUUGGUUUUGGGUUCGGUGGAUGGGCCAGCAUGACCAACUUUGUCAAGCAAGUUGACACAUUUGGGCUCUUCGCCAAAUGCUACCAAUGCAAGCCCCCAGUACCUCCACCAGCAGUAGCAGCACCGCCAACUUCUAAUACUACCCAUCAUCCAUGAGAUCGACAAGCUUCAAAUUGAAAUUAAUCUCUUUCUUUCAUAUUUUGUAUCAUACAUGGGGAAGUAGUAGCAAU
Molecule: unclassified non-coding RNA, 553 nt
Filed under: Hevea brasiliensis (rubber tree)
Lineage: Eukaryota; Viridiplantae; Streptophyta; Magnoliopsida; Malpighiales; Euphorbiaceae
Source: RNAcentral